GAAUGCAAGAGCAAUGCUAAUCCAAGAGGUCAUUCAUGGUUGCAACUAAAAUGAAUGAUUUGGCUGGUGAUGGUACAACUACUGCAAUUGUUUUGGCUCAAGCAAUGAUCAAAUCUGGGAUGCUGGCAGUUGCUUUUGGGGCUAACCCAGUUUCUUUGAAGAAAGGAAUGGAUAAGACUGUGAACAAAUUGGUCAAGGUCUUGAAGAAGAAAAGUGUGCUAGUAAGAGGAAGAAAUGACAUAAACGGUAUUUAGAGCAUGUCCUGUGAGUUACCAUCAAAAGCAAAAGUGAAAAACGCUUCAAGUUUUGGCCUCGUCCCCUCCAGCUGCUCCAUUAGAAGCACCCUCAGGAUCAGCAAUAUCGUCCUUUGGAGCAUUCUCUUCGGGAGAAGCAGUAGCUUGGGUGGCCUCGUCAACCUCCACCUCCUUGUCCACUUCCUCAAAGUCCAAAUCCUCCAAGUUUACUCCUGAGGGAUGCUUGACCAAAUACGGCCUGAGGAGCUUGAAGCCUUUGUAAUACCAACUAAAGAGCAUGGUGUUGUACUCUUCAGUCAAUUGAAAAGCUUGAACAGCCUUGGCAGCCAUGGAUUUAACCUUCUGGUUCGCAACCUGAAACUAUUUUCUUCUUUCACCAUCAGCUACUUCUCGACCUUAAGCUUGUUAGCCAAAGCCUUGGCCUUCUCCUUGGGCUAAGUUGGCUUUGUCCAUGGCAGUAAUGAGAUCCCUCCUCAACUUCGUGUUCUUAGCCUCCAGAGCCUCUACCUUGGACCCUACCACCAUUGCCUUCUCCUCAUGACUCAGGUACUUAGAAGUUAUGUGGUUUGUCUCUCGCAGCACUUGAAAAUCAUAAGAAGUGAAGAGUUAUAAGCAUCAAAAACCAUCCCAAUUCAUGAGUUACACAACCAAAUGAAAAGAAGCCUCACCUGGACGAGCUUAUGAAUAUAGCGGUUCACAACCUUGUGAAAAGGGACGCUAGAAAGCACCUUGAGGUCCUCGACAGUGACAGCAGAAUGGGCCCUCACCAAGGCAAGGCCAACAUCAUCCCAAAUGCUGGACGUCUGGGAGGCUACCUUCUCCUUCCCUUUUACCAACGUCCUCUACCUCUUUGGAUGAGGACUAAGCUCUUCCAAUAAAGUAGUAGGGGAGACCAUCUUCGUGGCCUCGGGGACGGAGGUGGCUGGAGUAAUCGGGGUCCCCUUCUCAACAACCUGCACCACCUUCUUCCCCAGGCUGGAAAGAGGCUCAUUCUUAGAAGGAGGGCUUCGGACCAAGGAAAUGGCGAGCUAAAGUUUGAGGAUCGACAAGGUCGUCAAAAUCGUCGAUUGUUUUCGCAUACUCAGUGGCCACCUGGACACACUCCUUGUAUCUACUCUUAAGCUUAGGGCGCUCCUUAACUGCAAAUACACAACAAGCAAAGGUUAAUGACGAAUCAAAUUGAAAAGAGAAAGAACUGUUAAGAAAUAAGCAAAGGACGACGCACCUAGCCUUAGGGACCACCACCGACGAAGCAAUCUAAGAACCUUACCCUAUAAGUCUUUAGAAAGAGUCUCCCAUCCAUCCCUAGACACGAAGAAGUAUCUGGAUUUCCAAUACCAAAAAGACAAAGGAAGAUCCAUGAUAAUCUUCGCCUUCUUAACCUAGGGCACAAGCCUGUAGUAUCUAUACUCCUUAGACUCCUUCAAACGAUAUAGGUGAAAAAAGUCGUCUAACUUGAUCAUGUUACCUUCAGUGAUGACCAUCCAAAUCUCCAUACAACUAAUCACUAUCCUCCAUGAGUUUGACAUAAGUUGCCCUGGAGCAAUGUUGAAGUGGUUCAAGAGUUCCAUGAUGAACGGAUGGACGAAGAAUCUGAGGCCACACUGGAAAGCAACAUCAUAGAAUCACACUUCCCUAGGCGAAAAAGUAUAAGCCUUUUCCCCUUCAUGAGGAAGUCGAAUCCUGACCUCCUCAAGGAAUUGAAAUCUAUCCCUAAACCUAAAAAGGGUAUCAGCGUCUAAGGCACACUCCUCCUUAAGGGCGUGGAAAGGCCUAUUCUCCCUUUGUCUAGACGAUGAAGGGCCAAACGUAGCGGUAUCUCCCUCCGCCUCGAUGGGGUAAUCACUAGAUGACAACCCCAUCUCAAGCUCACUAGACCUCACCUCAGAUACCCCUUCUCUUUCACCUACCAUCUCCCUAAACCAAUUCAAAGACUGAUGUAGCAAAGGAUACAAAUCAGCUAACAUAAAACCUAAACCACUAUUCCUAGACACAAAACCUUCAAUUGGGGGGCAACGAGCACUAGAAGAACCCAAAGAUGCUCCUAAGCAAGCAAAAAAGAAAGAAACAUAUGGAUAAAGCUUUCUAAUCUUAGAAUUUUGGACCAUGAAAUUAGUACAGAGUCUUAAGUUGAAAAAGAAAGGUAGAAAAAACUUCGCUGUAAAAAGGAAAGGUAAAAGAAAGAGAAAUCAUACCUCCGAAAUGGAAAAACCAAGGUUAGAAACGAAAAAGUUGCUAAAAGUUCAAGGAGCUUGGAGAGGAAGAGUUCAGAGCAACAACGGCGAGAGAGAGAAAGAGAAAAAGUAGAGAAGGAGAGGAACAACUAAGUAGUUUAAAAGCUAGCCUUGGAAAACUGAAAAUCUGCAGGAAACCCAAAAGUCCCUCGAAUAAAACGUUACUAUCCACCACUCAGAGUGCGCCACGUGGCCACGACACGUAUGGUGCUACCACUCUGCAUUAAAUGUAGACACAACAAAAAUCUCAAGAGUCACAUCUGAACAAAUAACAUUUCAUAUUCUCAAGAUCGUCAUCACACGCAAGGACGAUCUCAGAAUAGGGGGGCUACUGAUAGAUCGAGUAAUUACUCUCGUCUUGAAGAGCCAGCCUGGAUGAGGAUAGAGCGCCAUAAAAACAUCUAUUCAAUGCCCCGACGGUUUCAUAUCAAUGAUGAGACUGUUGGAACCUCCAUUAAGGCUAAAUUAAGUAGGCCUGAGGCAUUACCAAAAAGCUUUCAAGUCACCAUUUAAGAAGGACAACGGCUAGUAAGAAGAGUCUAUUUAUAAGACCUACCAAGUCCCAGACAAGGUAGAUACACACUAAUCAUUUUUUACUCUUGUUACCAAAUUCUCUCUAUUUUUUUAGCUCCAUUUGUUGACUUUAUCAUUGGAGACUCCAUGGCCAACACCACACCGAUGACCACCUAAGAGGAUUUCCCUUUUUCACUCACCCCGUAGGAACUUGGUUGAGCUCAUAUUAGAAACCCUCUGGACGAACCCAACUAUUGACGAUCUUAGCAUCAUCAAUAUAUAUAAAAUAUAUUUAUAUUAGAAAAAAAAUUGGGGGCAUUGCCUUUAAAGUCAAUGACUAGCUACGUCCCUGGUCUCAACAUUUGUAUUUAUCGUUUACUUGAAUAUUACUGCAAACGUGAAAUUAUAGCUUGAGUUAUUUUGUAUCGUGGAACCUAUUAUCGUCUCUAUGUCUUUGUGUAGCCACGCAAAAGACA
Quercus lobata is the source of this 3477-nucleotide long non-coding RNA. RefSeq lists it as uncharacterized. The record is from RefSeq and is a predicted model, not a curated record. NCBI's taxonomy places the organism in Eukaryota, Viridiplantae, Streptophyta, Magnoliopsida, Fagales, Fagaceae. The transcript is spliced from 2 exons.